CACACGUCCUGGCCAUUGAUUCCUGCUCCCCUCCCCUGCCUUCCUGAAUCAGUCUUCCAGGCUUUGCUGGCACCGCACUGCUGUGCUGAUGCACAGCCAGGAUCUACACCUCCUUGAUGGACAGAUAUUUUUCCUUUUAUGUUGAUUCCAGGUACUUUGCAUUUUCUUUCUUGCUUAUAUCUACACUUUUUUUUUUUUUCCUAGAAGCCACUGUGUGAGAGGGAGUCAGUGUGAAACUAAGUAAGACUCUAGGCUUUGGACAUGCCUCUGAAUCUUCCAGCUAUGUGCCACCAGCUCUUACAAUGGGAACCGUUAAGCACUUGGCACACAUCUUCUUGUUCCACUCUCCUGACAACCGUGAGAAUAUAAAAUAGGAAACAAGCUGUACAUCUUUGAAAACAGACUGGGGGAACCAUGCUGUAAAAGAAAUCAGGCAACUCAAGCCCACUUGAUGAAUAACACCUACUUCAUGAGAAGGAGAAGCAGGACAAGGACCUGCUCUUGAAGAACAAACCAAAAAAGCAAGGCCAAAGGACCUUGAAACUGUUAAGAGGCACUCAUGCCCCAGCAGGACUGCGGCCCAGGCCAUGCUGGUUUCAGGUUCCUCCUCGCUACAGAGAUAAAUGGCUCACGGAAACAUUAUCCAAGUAGUUUCACAUCAAAGGCUACAUGGCCAGCUGAGUUUCCUUUUAAUCUAGCCAAUAACCAAGUGAGAAUUCGACAAUGUGCUUGCUUAGGAGAGGGCUUCACGCCGUUGCAGACGGG
Molecule: long non-coding RNA, 765 nt
Filed under: Equus caballus (horse)
Lineage: Eukaryota; Metazoa; Chordata; Mammalia; Perissodactyla; Equidae
Description: lncRNA (ENSECAG00000055136.1)
Source: RNAcentral